RNAcentral lists this ribosomal RNA (1484 nucleotides) under uncultured marine bacterium. RNAcentral describes it as "bacterial SSU rRNA". It matches the Rfam family "Bacterial small subunit ribosomal RNA". The record is from RNAcentral.
GAGUUUGAUCAUGGCUCAGGAUGAACGCUAGCGGCAGGCCUAACACAUGCGAGUCGAACGGUAACAGGGAUUGCUUGCAAUCCGCUGACGAGUGGCGCACGGGUGCGUAACGCGUAUGCAAUCUGCCUAUAACUGAGGGAUAGCCCAGAGAAAUUUGGAUUAAUACCUCAUAAUAUUGUUUUAUGGCAUCAUUUUACAAUUAAAACUUUGGUGGUUAUAGAUGAGCAUGCGUCCUAUUAGCUUGUUGGUAAGGUAACGGCUUACCAAGGCAACGAUAGGUAGGGGGCCUGAAAGGGUGAUCCCCCACACUGGUACUGAGACACGGACCAGACUCCUACGGGAGGCAGCAGUGAGGAAUAUUGCGCAAUGGACGAAAGUCUGACGCAGCCAUGCCGCGUGCAGGAAGACGGCCCUAUGGGUUGUAAACUGCUUUUAUAUAGGAAGAAACACCGAUACGUGUAUCGGCUUGACGGUACUAUAUGAAUAAGGACCGGCUAACACCGUGCCAGCAGCCGCGGUAAUACGGAGGGUCCAAGCGUUAUCCGGAUUUAUUAGGUUUAAAGGGUCCGCAGGCGGGAUUUUAAGUCAGUGGUGAAAGCCUACAGCUCAACUGUAGAACUGCCAUUGAUACUGAAAUCCUUGAGUGUGGUUGAAGUAGGCGGAACAUGUCAUGUAGCGGUGAAAUGCAUAGAUAUGACAUAGAACACCAAUUGCGAAGGCAGCUUACUAAACCAUUACUGACGCUGAGGGACGAAAGCGUGGGGAGCGAACAGGAUUAGAUACCCUGGUAGUCCACGCCGUAAACGAUGAUCACUCGUUGCUAGCCAUAUACUGUUAGUGACCAAGCGAAAGUGUUAAGUGAUCCACCUGGGAAGUACGUUCGCAAGGAUGAAACUCAAAGGAAUUGACGGGGGCCCGCACAAGCGGUGGAGCAUGUGGUUUAAUUCGAUGAUACGCGAGGAACCUUACCAGGGCUUAAAUGCAGAAUGACAGUUAGGGAAACCAAUCCUUCUUCGGACAUUUUGCAAGGUGCUGCAUGGUUGUCGUCAGCUCGUGCCGUGAGGUGUCAGGUUAAGUCCUAUAACGAGCGCAACCCCUAUCAUUAGUUGCCAGCGGGUAAUGCCGGGAACUCUAAUGAGACUGCCAGCGCAAGCUGUGAGGAAGGUGGGGAUGACGUCAAAUCAUCACGGCCCUUACGUCCUGGGCUACACACGUGCUACAAUGGUUGGGACAAUGGGCAGCCACUACGCAAGUAGGAGCUAAUCCUCAAACCCAAUCUCAGUUCGGAUCGGAGUCUGCAACUCGACUCCGUAAAGCUGGAAUCGCUAGUAAUCAGAUAUCAGCAAUGAUCUGGUGAAUACGUUCCCGGGCCUUGUACACACCGCCCGUCAAGCCAUGGAAGCUGGGGGUGCCUGAAGUCGGUAACCGUAAGGAACUGCCUAGGGUAAAACUAGUAACUGGGGCUAAGUCGUAACAAGGUAACC